UUGGAUUCCUCUUAUUUCCUUUUCUUGCCUAAUUGCUUUGGCUAGGACUUCAGAUACUAUGAUGAAUAAAGUGGCAAAGGUGGGCAUCGUUGUCUUGUUCCUGAUCUUAGAGGAAAAACUUUUCAGCUCUUCACCAUUGAAUAUGACGCUAUCUAUGGACUUACAAUAUAUAGCCUUUAUUCUGUUGAGGCAUAUUCCCUUUAUACUCACUUUUUGACAGUUUUUGUUAUGAAUGGAUGUUGAACUUUGUCACAUGCUGCUUCUGCAUCUAUUGAGAUGAUCAUAUACUUUUUUCCUUCAUUUUGUUACUGUGGUGUAUUGCAUUGACUGAUUGAUGGAUGUUGAAUCAUCCUUGCAUCCCUGGAAUUAAUCCCACUUGAUCAUAGUGUAUGACCCUUUUAAUCUGUUGUUGAAUUUGGCUUGCUAAAAUUUUGUUGAGGAUUGUUGCAUCUAUGGUCAUCAGAGCUAUUGGUCUGUAAUUUUCUUUUCUUGUAGUGUCUUUGAGAUGGGAAGAGCACAGGU
Vicugna pacos (alpaca) is the source of this 522-nucleotide non-coding RNA. The record is from RefSeq and is a predicted model, not a curated record. Lineage: Eukaryota; Metazoa; Chordata; Mammalia; Artiodactyla; Camelidae.